AACUCGUGAUUAGGACAUAUUCUUAUGAUAUCUUUAUAUCUUUCCCAUGCGUCAAAAAGUGAUUCUCCUUCAGCUUGUUUAAGCAUAGUUAUUUGAUUUCUCAAUAC
Molecule: small nucleolar RNA, 107 nt
Organism: Lathyrus oleraceus (garden pea)
Lineage: Eukaryota; Viridiplantae; Streptophyta; Magnoliopsida; Fabales; Fabaceae
Source: RefSeq, a predicted model, not a curated record